GAUGAACGCUGGCGGCGUGCCUAAUACAUGCAAGUCGAGCGAACAGAUGAGGAGCUUGCUCCUCUGACGUUAGCGGCGGACGGGUGAGUAACACGUGGAUAACCUACCUAUAAGACUGGGAUAACUUCGGGAAACCGGAGCUAAUACCGGAUAAUAUAUUGAACCGCAUGGUUCAAUAGUGAAAGACGGUUUUGCUGUCACUUAUAGAUGGAUCCGCGCCGCAUUAGCUAGUUGGUAAGGUAACGGCUUACCAAGGCAACGAUGCGUAGCCGACCUGAGAGGGUGAUCGGCCACACUGGAACUGAGACACGGUCCAGACUCCUACGGGAGGCAGCAGUAGGGAAUCUUCCGCAAUGGGCGAAAGCCUGACGGAGCAACGCCGCGUGAGCGAUGAAGGUCUUCGGAUCGUAAAACUCUGUUAUUAGGGAAGAACAAAUGUGUAAGUAACUACGCACGUCUUGACGGUACCUAAUCAGAAAGCCACGGCUAACUACGUG
This 497-nucleotide ribosomal RNA is filed under the name uncultured bacterium. Its description in RNAcentral is "partial 16S ribosomal RNA". It matches the Rfam family "Bacterial small subunit ribosomal RNA", at positions 28 to 507 of the family's 1533-position model. The record is from RNAcentral.